AAAAUUUUAGUUUAAAUAAAAUAUUUUAUUUACAAUAAAAAGAAUAAUAUUAUUAUUAAGAUUUUA
Molecule: transfer RNA, 66 nt
Filed under: Polistes sp. MD1
Lineage: Eukaryota; Metazoa; Arthropoda; Insecta; Hymenoptera; Vespidae
Description: tRNA-Val
Source: RNAcentral